This 242-nucleotide long non-coding RNA is filed under the name Elaeis guineensis (African oil palm). RNAcentral describes it as "long non-coding RNA (EGUI_LNC066464)". Lineage: Eukaryota; Viridiplantae; Streptophyta; Magnoliopsida; Arecales; Arecaceae. The record is from RNAcentral.
UUGAUUCACUCAAUCGGCAGAUCAGCAACUUAUCCCAGACAAUAGAUAUUUUGGAGAAAAGAUAGUAUGGGACAGCUACAGAGGUUGAUCAGUUGAUUACAGAGGUUGCCAAGGUUGCUAGAAGGGCUAAGGAGAUUGUCAUUUCUCAAUAUGACAGCAUAGAGAUCAUCAUCACAGCUCUUUAGAGAGUUGAGACAUAGUUGGGUCAGCUUUGAUCUUAGAUAUCUCCUCCUACUCAGCCU